GGCGACCCAGGGAGACCCAGGGUCCCCUGCUCCCUGGGGAUUCUGGGAAAUGUGGUUUACACGCUCAGCUUGCGUGUUUCUGACCAACUAAGGUAUUCGUCGAUGAGCUGGGAGCCGAAGAAGUCAGUAUUGCCAGUGCUUGGAGUAGCUUCAUCCAUUAAUAUUGAAAAAGGGCCUUGUGAGUGCCUCCUGUCGCCCUCCACCCCCCGCCCGGAGGCCUUGUCCAGCGCUUGGCCCCAGGUCUAGCCCUUCCGCGUGAUGGACAUUGCACCUGAGACCUUGACGGGAACACACGCACAAGCGGGCUCAGCUGAACACAGAGAUAAGCCUCGAGUGUUGUUUGGAGAAAUAUGCUCUGCGGCUUCGAGAAGAUUGAGGACACGCUGCAGAGUCUCGUGGUGCCUCCGCUGGUGCAACCUGCGUCUACCCAUUUACUAGAUCACAGGCAUGGACGGUCAUCCACUGUGGCCCAGGCUGUCUCAGGCUCUCGGGACAGGGCGAGCAAGACGCCACACUCCACUGGAGCAGACAGACACCAACCAGCAUCGUUGCCGACUUCCGGCACCAUUGCUCCACUGUCAUCUCGGCCCGGCCCCCACCCCUGCCCCCACGCCCGGCAGACUCUUCUUCCAGAUCCUUCCUCCCUGGGCCUCGGCAACACGUCCUGAACAUCUCAAGAGAGAGGAAACUUGGGAACUGGGCCAUGUCCCCGCAUGGAGAACCCACAAGGGUCGCCCUAAAGCCUCCUUAUAAACAGCCCUGGAGAGAGCGGGCGCUCAGCUCAGCCUGGCAGUUAAGAUUCCCACAGCACACGUGAGAAGACCUCGGCGCCACUCUUGGCUCCAGCUCCGGCUCGGGCUUCCUGCCAGUGCAGCCCUGGGAGGCAGCACUGACGGCUCAAGGGAUGGGGCUCCUGCCACCCACGUGGAUUGAGUUCCCGGCUCCCAGCUCUGACCCAGCCUAACCCCGGCCAAUCUGCGCACUUGGGGAGAGAAGAAGCAAAUCUUUCUAUCAACCCACCUCUAUUCUCUCUCUGCCUCUCUUAAAUAAAAAUGAAAAAUAAAACUCCUCCCCUAAUCCU
This 1081-nucleotide long non-coding RNA is filed under the name Oryctolagus cuniculus (rabbit). Its description in RNAcentral is "lncRNA (ENSOCUG00000035049.1)". Lineage: Eukaryota; Metazoa; Chordata; Mammalia; Lagomorpha; Leporidae. The record is from RNAcentral.